AUACGUAGGUGACAAGCGUUAUCCGGAUUUACUGGGCGUAAAGGGCGUGUAGGCGGUCUUGCAAGUCAGAAGUGAAAUUCCCGGGCUUAACUUGGGCGCUGCUUCUGAAACUGCUUUACUUGAGUGCUGGAGAGGAUAGUGGAAUUCCUAGUGUAGCGGUAAAAUGCGCAGAUAUUAGGAGGAACACCGGUGGCGAAGGCGGCUAUCUGGACAGUAACGGACGCUGAGGCGCGAAAGCACGGGGAGCAAACAGGAUUAGAUACCCUGGUAGUCCGUGCCGUAAACGAUGAAUACUAGGUGUAGGGGGUAUCGACUCCCUCUGUGCCGCAGUUAACACAUUAAGUAUUCCACCUGGGGAGUACGGCCGCAAGGUUGAAACUCAAAUGAAUUGACGGGG
Molecule: ribosomal RNA, 397 nt
Filed under: uncultured bacterium
Lineage: Bacteria
Description: partial 16S ribosomal RNA
Rfam family: Bacterial small subunit ribosomal RNA
Source: RNAcentral